RNAcentral lists this long non-coding RNA (482 nucleotides) under Struthio camelus australis. RNAcentral describes it as "lncRNA (ENSSCUG00000006077.1)". Lineage: Eukaryota; Metazoa; Chordata; Aves; Struthioniformes; Struthionidae. The record is from RNAcentral.
AGGGAAGGCAGGGGAGGAAGCUUGCCCAGUCUCGGUCCCGGCGAGCCCCGACGGAGGGUGUCCGGCCGCUCUGGGGGAGCCUGGGGUGCUGCCGCGGUGGCUGUUGAUUGUGGGGGUGGACUCACGGGGCUGUAAAAUGUGAAAAUAUGUGGCAAAACAGAAUGCUACCUUCCUUUUUUCCUCUAGCAUAUAUAAAAGCACAGACUGCAUCAGACACUGGAGAGCUGCAUGGAGAUUUUACUUUGCAAAUGGAACAGCAUGCUGGCAGCAUAGAGGAUGAAAGUCUUUGAAGAGCUCUUUUGAGGAUAGAAAUCAGCCCAUGAACUCCUUCAGGCUGCAGUCUUAUUCAUCAUUAUUUCCAAGAUUUUUUUCACAUGCUCACCAAGAUAAAUUCAAAUUUAAAAACAGUCCCAGUGAGCUGGUGACAGAGCAAGCCCAGAAACUUGAAGGAUACCAAGCUCCCAGUAGGCACAAAAUGGCUG